RNAcentral lists this ribosomal RNA (610 nucleotides) under uncultured marine archaeon. Its description in RNAcentral is "bacterial SSU rRNA". It matches the Rfam family "Archaeal small subunit ribosomal RNA", at positions 21 to 632 of the family's 1478-position model. The record is from RNAcentral.
GAGCCAUUGCUAUUGGGAUCCGAUUAGCCAUGCGAGUCGCGCGGGUUCAGACCCGCGGCGAACGGCUCCGUAACACGUGGUCGAACUACCCUGUGGACCAGGAUACUCUCGGGAAACUGAGGCUAAUCCCGGAUAGCGUUUUCAGCCUUGAACGGCGAAAACGCCAAACGCUCCGGCGCCACAGGAUGUGACUGCGGCCGAUUAGGUAGACGGUGGGGUAACGGCCCACCGUGCCGAUAAUCGGUACGGGUAGUGAGAGCUAGAGCCCGGAGACGGACUCUGAGACAAGAGUCCGGGCCCUACGGGGCGCAGCAGGCGCGAAACCUUUACACUGCGCGAUAGCGCGAUAGGGGGAUCCCAAGUGCGAGGGCAUACAGUCCUCGCUUUUGCCUACCGUAAGGUGGUAGGCGAAUAAGAGCUGGGCAAGACCGGUGCCAGCCGCCGCGGUAAUACCGGCAGCUCAAGUGAUGGCCGAUUUUAUUGGGCCUAAAGCGUCCGUAGCCUGCUAGACAGGUCCGUCGGGAAAUCCACCCGCUCAACGGGUGGGCGUCCGGCGGAAAACAGCUAGCUUGGGGACCGAGCGACCUGAGGGGUACCUCCGGGGUAGGAA